Molecule: non-coding RNA, 181 nt
Filed under: Eubacterium sp.
Lineage: Bacteria; Bacillati; Bacillota; Clostridia; Eubacteriales; Eubacteriaceae
Also listed under: 2 other names
Description: 6S RNA
Rfam family: 6S / SsrS RNA
About the family: E. coli 6S RNA was the first non coding RNA to be sequenced, but its function was unknown until recently. It consists of 184 nucleotides that fold into an extended hairpin structure with a large single-stranded internal bulge. The 6S RNA specifically associates with RNA polymerase holoenzyme containing the sigma70 specificity factor.
Source: RNAcentral
UCUUACCUGAGAUGUUGGUUUGAAACCUGUUAAUUUUGAACCUACAGUUUGAUUAAAGGGAUUCCUAUAUCUCUAAAGGGAUGUCAAGCCUCCUUGUGAGUGGAAGGCAGUAACUUUAGAUGCGGUUGCCCACCUGGCGUUUGCUAGGACUCAAAACACAGGACGGCAUUUCGGGUAUUAC